CAUGAGGUUUAUCCCAACAGACCUUUGACCUGUAGGUCUUUGUUGUUGGAAACGCCUCAGAGAGUAAACCUGCAGUUUGCUUUACCCACAGACUGACUGCUGUGGGUUUUGUGGGAUAUAACUGCAGUACAAAC
This is a small nucleolar RNA of Thalassophryne amazonica, 134 nucleotides long. The record is from RefSeq and is a predicted model, not a curated record. NCBI's taxonomy places the organism in Eukaryota, Metazoa, Chordata, Actinopteri, Batrachoidiformes, Batrachoididae.